GACGAACCGAGCGAACGUUGUUCGGAAUCACUGGGCUUAAAGGGCGCGUAGGCGGGCUGUCAAGUCUGGGGUGAAAUCCCGCGGCUCAACCGUGGAACUGCCUCAGAUACUGACGGCCUCGAGGGAGGUAGGGGCGAGCGGAACUAAUGGUGGAGCGGUGAAAUGCGUUGAUAUCAUUAGGAACUCCGGUGGCGAAGGCGGCUCGCUGGACCUCUUCUGACGCUGAGGCGCGAAAGCCAGGGGAGCAAACGGG
RNAcentral lists this ribosomal RNA (253 nucleotides) under uncultured bacterium. RNAcentral's name for it is "partial 16S ribosomal RNA". It matches the Rfam family "Bacterial small subunit ribosomal RNA", at positions 524 to 776 of the family's 1533-position model. The record is from RNAcentral.